Molecule: ribosomal RNA, 380 nt
Filed under: uncultured eukaryote
Lineage: Eukaryota
Description: partial 18S ribosomal RNA
Rfam family: Eukaryotic small subunit ribosomal RNA
Source: RNAcentral
CAAUAGCGUAUAUUAAAGUUGUUGCAGUUAAAAAGCUCGUAGUUGGAUUUCUGGUUGAAGCGACCGGUCGGGCGUUGAUUCGUCUGCACUGGAGUCGGUUUUGGCCAUCCUCUAGGAAAGUGCGUCUGGUAUUAAGUUAUCGGGCGUAUGAUCCUGGUCUUUUACUGUGAAAAAAUUAGAGUGUUUAAAGCAGGCCUUCGCCUUGAAUACAUUAGCAUGGAAUAAUAAGAUAGGACUUUGGUCUAUUUUGUUGGUUGAGCCUAAAGUAAUGAUUAAUAGGGAUAGUUGGGGGCACCUGUAUUGCGUUGUCAGAGGUGAAAUUCUUGGAUUUACGCAAGACAAACAGCUGCGAAAGCGUCUGCCAAGGAUGUUUUCAUUAA